Brienomyrus brachyistius is the source of this 1230-nucleotide long non-coding RNA. RefSeq lists it as uncharacterized. The record is from RefSeq and is a predicted model, not a curated record. Lineage: Eukaryota; Metazoa; Chordata; Actinopteri; Osteoglossiformes; Mormyridae. The transcript has 3 exons.
UAGAUGGGGUACGGGAGAAUCAUCUCAGGUGAGGAGCAGGUGGGGUACAGGAGGACCAUCUCAGGUUAGGAGGAGGUGGGCUAAGGGAGGACCAUCUCAGGUGAGGAGAUUAGGUAGAGUGGGGCCAUUUCAGGUGAGGACGUGGAGUAUGGGAGGGCCAUCUCAGGUGAGGAGGAGGUGGGCUAAGGGAGGACCAUCUCAGGUGAGGAGAUUAGGUAGAGUGGGGCCAUCUCAGGUGAGGACGUGGAGUAUGGGAGGGCCAUCUCAGGUGAGGACGUGGCGUAUGGGAGGGCCAUCUCAGGUGAGGACGUGGCGUAUGGGAGGGCCAUCUCAGGUGAGGACGUGGAGUAUGGGAGGGCCAUCUCAGGUGAGGACGUGGAGUAUGGGAGGGCCAUCUCAGGUGAGGACGUGGAGUAUGGGAGGGCCAUCUCAGGUGAGGACGUGGCGUAUGGGAGGGCCAUCUCAGGUGAGGACGUGGCGUAUGGGAGGGCCAUCUCAGGUGAGGACGUGGCGUAUGGGAGGGCCAUCUCAGGUGAGGACGUGGAGUAUGGGAGGGCCAUCUCAGGUGAGGACGUGGAGUAUGGGAGGGCCAUCUCAGGUGAGGACGUGGAGUAUGGGAGGGCCAUCUCAGGUGAGGACGUGGAGUAUGGGAGGGCCAUCUCAGGUGAGGACGUGAGGUACGGGAGGGCCAUCUCAGGUGAGGAGGUGGUGGGGUACAGGAGCAAACUCUUAGGUGAGGAGGAAGUGGGGUAAGGGAGUGCACUCUUAGGUGAGGAAAUUAGGUAGAGGAGCGACAUCUCAUGUGAGGACGUGGAAAACACAGCAUUACCUUUAAAGAGCAGCCUCAGCUUAAUAGAAAAUGCAAUGUUACCUUUAAAGGAGCAACACAAAUAGCCACGUCAGUGGGAAAUUGGUUCAAACCGGCUAACGUAGCUGCAGCUAACAUGGAUGGAAAACAAGCCUAGUUCACUGUGACUAGCAGUGAGAAGCAGCACAGAGGGCACUCCAUCUUCCGGGAGCCAAACAAGGAAGGAGCUCCUGGAUGGAAACAGGCCCGGCCACUUUAUUUUUGCGAGCUGACACAUUGUUUGAGGCAUUAAAGCCAGCGUGCCUCGCUGCGCUCAUCACUCUUAGGUGCAGCACACUGUGACAUUCGGGUGCGCUGGGUAACAGGAGCCGCCGCUUGGCAUGACCUGCAUGUGACAGGUCUGUGUCUCUCCCCCUCCACCG